AAAUUGAAGAGUUUGAUCAUGGCUCAGAUUGAACGCUGGCGGCAGGCCUAACACAUGCAAGUCGAACGGUAACAGGAAGCAGCUUGCUGCUUUGUUGACGAGUGGCGGACGGGUGAGUAAUGUCUGGGAAACUGCCUGAUGGAGGGGGAUAACUACUGGAAACGGUGGCUAAUACCGCAUAACGUCGCAAGACCAAAGAGGGGGACCUUCGGGCCUCUUGCCAUCA
RNAcentral lists this ribosomal RNA (226 nucleotides) under Salmonella enterica subsp. enterica serovar Montevideo. RNAcentral's name for it is "partial 16S ribosomal RNA". It matches the Rfam family "Bacterial small subunit ribosomal RNA", at positions 1 to 223 of the family's 1533-position model. The record is from RNAcentral. Lineage: Bacteria; Pseudomonadati; Pseudomonadota; Gammaproteobacteria; Enterobacterales; Enterobacteriaceae.